AUCUGCAUCUUCGGGAUGUUGACGGUCUAAGAGCCGGCAAAAAGAUGCCGCCAGGAGCAACUCGGUACCCAAGCAAACCAGAGCUUAUCAGAUUCAUUGUUAGCAAUAAUGGAUGACAUCCCAACUGUGAAUAUGCUGUACCAGAUGUGUUUCCUGAAGCAAAUAUCAUUGAUUAAAGGAAGUCAUUAUCAUCUUGAAAACCAGCACAACCAUGCUACAUUUGAGUAAUGAAUGCCUGGAUCAGCAAUGUAAUGGUUAACAAAGUGUUCUUUUAAAGCGACUUCAAAGGCAAGGUAAAUAUACUUUAAAGAUUCAGAUAAAUUUUGGG
This 328-nucleotide long non-coding RNA is filed under the name Vombatus ursinus (common wombat). RNAcentral's name for it is "lncRNA (ENSVURG00010011742.1)". Lineage: Eukaryota; Metazoa; Chordata; Mammalia; Diprotodontia; Vombatidae. The record is from RNAcentral.